GGAGGGAUCAUUAGCUGUGUCUCAGUUUAAAAAAACCAUCGUACGAAAGUACGGGAAUGGGCCUAAAUCUAACACGUUGGGGCCUUAAAUACUAGGGGGGGUUCCUUCGGGGGCUCUCUGGUUAGGGGUGGUACCCUCGAGGCGGUACGUACAGGCCUUUCCUAACCGACCCCUAAUGGCUCGAGCGCAAGCUCCCGACAUUAGGUUUAUCCAAAAAAAAGCUUAACUCAAGGGUUGGUCUUAUUCGUUUGAGGCCACCCCUUUUGAGUCAAGCGGCUUCUCCAUUGGGGUAGAACCUUAAUGGAGAGGUUGUCCGCUCCCAACUUAGUCUCAACUCCUCACGGACACCAGACUAUUAUUGGGUUUAACAACUGUCAGCAGUGGAUAUCUUGGCUCCCACAACGAUGAAGAGCGCAGUAAAAUGCGAAACACAAUGUGAAUUGCAGAGCUACGCGAAUCAUCUAGGUCUUGAACGCAUCUUGCACCUGGAUCUUUGGAUCCAGGUCGGUCCAACUGAGCGCCGCUCCCCCCCCCAUCGUACGAAAAGUACGGGAAUGGGCCUAAAUCUAACACGUUAGGGCCUUAAAUACUAGUCGGAUUGCCAUAACGAGUGGUCUGACCAAUGCUUCUGCGUGCAUGUCACUCUUAAGUAUGUCUUACCUCGUAGUUAUGACAUGAUGAUCAACAAGAGGUAAAAGCCUCCCAAAAAAGUCGAGGGUCGAAUCGUACUUCCAUGGUCCUGCUUUUUUGCGGGACCCCGGAAGUGCCCUAUUAGUCUUUAUCGACUCAGGUCGAUAAAAAAAAACUUAGGGUAGAUUUGCUCACGCACUCGGCCUCAGUUUGGAUCAGUCUACCCACUGAACUUAAGCAUAUCAAUAUGUGGAGGAAAAGAAACCAACAGGGAUUCCCUUAGUAAGGGCGACUGAACCGGGAACAGCUCAAACUUGAAAUCGGCAGGGCUAACACCUCUGUCCGAAUUGUAGUUUUGCGAGUAGCUUCGGAGGUGGACUGGGUCUAAGUCUCCUGGAAUGGAGCGCCAUAGAAGGUAAGAGCCCUGUGAGGCCUGGCACCCGCUUCCAUAUGUUGCUACUUCGAGGAGUCACACUAUUUGAGAGUAUAGUGUAAAGUAGGUGGUAAGCUCCAUCUAAAGCUAAAUAUCAGUGGGAGACCGAUAGCGAACAAGUACCGCGAGGGAAAGAUCAAAAGAACUCUGGAAAGAGAGUUAAAAGUGCUUGAAACUGCUGACAGCGAAGCGAUUGCGGCCAUCACCCUAUGUGGGCCCUGCAAAUCAGCCAUUAGGGGCAGUGAAGGGGAAGACGUAGUAGGUGCCGCAAGGUACCGCUUGUCCAACUGGAGCUUCCGACGUGGUGCACUUUGCAGAUGCCUUCGGGCAGCAUCGGUGAUUAGUGUCUGAGAAGGGGUUGGGGAGGGUACUAGGCGCAAGCCUGGGAGCUAACCAACUCUGGACCUAUCGCGAGUCACUGACGGACCUUCGGGUUCAUGCUCCCCUCCGCAAUGCGAAGCAUGUCUUUGUGUUGGUGCCUAUUAGUCGAGGCAACUCGGCUGGUGGGUUACUGAUGCUCUGAUGUGUUAGCGUUUAGGGGCGCACGAUGCUGAAUGUGAGGGCACCAACCGUCCCGUCUUGAAACACGGACCAAGGAGUGUAGAGUGUAUGCGAGUCUAAGGGGCCUGAAACCCUGGAGGCGAAGCGAAAGCAAUUGUGUGAUGGGUGGUUUACCGCCUUGCAACACAUUUCGACCGUGACACGUAGUGGAGCGGACCGAAAAUGAGCAUACACUCUACGACCCGAAAGACAGCGAACUAUACCUGCAUAGGGUGAAGCCAGAAGAAAUUCUGGUGGAGGCCCGUAGCGGUUCUGACGUGCAAAUCGAUCGUCAAAUGUAGGUAUAGCGGCGAAAGACUAAUCGAGCUGUCUAGUAGCUGGUUCCCCC
This 1952-nucleotide unclassified non-coding RNA is filed under the name uncultured fungus. RNAcentral's name for it is "sequence contains 18S rRNA gene, ITS1, 5.8S rRNA gene, ITS2, 28S rRNA gene". The stretch from base 831 to 1952 matches the Rfam family "Eukaryotic large subunit ribosomal RNA", at positions 1 to 961 of the family's 3401-position model. Lineage: Eukaryota; Fungi. The record is from RNAcentral.